RNAcentral lists this non-coding RNA (88 nucleotides) under Escherichia coli. The record is from RNAcentral. Lineage: Bacteria; Pseudomonadati; Pseudomonadota; Gammaproteobacteria; Enterobacterales; Enterobacteriaceae. RNAcentral also lists the same sequence under 6 other names.
AAUUAUGGUGGGCUGGGUGGGGGCGGAGAAAUCCGCGCCGGAGUCCAUACAGUCCGGUUACGCCAACCCUGCUCAGUCCACCACCAGU